Molecule: unclassified non-coding RNA, 200 nt
Filed under: soil metagenome
Description: partial contains internal transcribed spacer 2 and large subunit ribosomal RNA
Source: RNAcentral
GUUCGAGCGUCAUUAAACAUCCUCAAGUUCUACUUGGUGUUGGGCUAUGCUGCUAACACAGCUAGCUCUAAAAUCAGUGGCAGUUGUCACCAGCUCUAAGCGUAGUAAUUAUCCUCGCUUUUGCGCUUGGUGGUAGCCCGCCAGCAACCCCUAAUCUCGUGUUUGACCUCGGAUCGUGUAGGAGUACCCGCUGAACUUAA